ACAGGGUGCCGGCGCGGGGUGUAGCGAACAGGAGGUAACGCCCGCUGUGCCAACAGGGUGCCGGCGCGGGGUGUAGCGAACAGGAGGUAACGUCCGCUGUGCCAACAGGGUGCCAGCGCGGGGUGUAGCGAACAGGAGGUAACGUCCGUUGUGCCAACAGGGUGCCGGCGCGGGGUGUAGCGAACAGGAGGUAACGUCCGUUGUGCCAACAGGGUGCCGGCGCGGGGUGUAGCGAACAGGAGGUAACGCCCGCUGUGCCAACAGGGUGCCGGCGCGGGGUGUAGCGAACAGGAGGUAACGUCCGUUGUGCCAACAGGGUGCCGCUGCAGCUGGCGGACGGCUCCGGCACCAGCUUCGACCUGCAGAAGGUUGCCGUGGCCGACAAGUACGAAGUGCCGGUCAUUCUGCCUGAUGGCGUCACCUGCCCGACCUGCACCCUCCAGAUGCGCGUGGUGAGCCGCGGCUG
Eriocheir sinensis (Chinese mitten crab) is the source of this 466-nucleotide long non-coding RNA. RefSeq lists it as uncharacterized. The record is from RefSeq and is a predicted model, not a curated record. The transcript has 4 exons. Lineage: Eukaryota; Metazoa; Arthropoda; Malacostraca; Decapoda; Varunidae.